GAUGAACGCUGGCGGCGUGCUUAACACAUGCAAGUCGAACGGAAAGGCCCAAGCUUGCUUGGGUACUCGAGUGGCGAACGGGUGAGUAACACGUGGGUGAUCUGCCCUGCACUUCGGGAUAAGCCUGGGAAACUGGGUCUAAUACCGGAUAGGACGAUGGUUUGGAUGCCAUUGUGGAAAGUUUUUCGGUGUGGGAUGAGCUCGCGGCCUAUCAGCUUGUUGGUGGGGUAAUGGCCUACCAAGGCGUCGACGGGUAGCCGGCCUGAGAGGGUGUACGGCCACAUUGGGACUGAGAUACGGCCCAGACUCCUACGGGAGGCAGCAGUGGGGAAUAUUGCACAAUGGGCGCAAGCCUGAUGCAGCGACGCCGCGUGGGGGAUGACGGCCUUCGGGUUAUAAACUCCUUUCGCUAGGGACGAAGCGUUUUUGUGACGGUACCUGGAGAAGAAGCACCGGCUAACUACGUG
RNAcentral lists this ribosomal RNA (467 nucleotides) under uncultured bacterium. Its description in RNAcentral is "partial 16S ribosomal RNA". It matches the Rfam family "Bacterial small subunit ribosomal RNA", at positions 28 to 507 of the family's 1533-position model. The record is from RNAcentral.